GACGAACGCUGGCGGCGUGCUUAACACAUGCAAGUCGAACGGAAAGGCCCUGCUUUUGUGGGGUGCUCGAGUGGCGAACGGGUGAGUAACACGUGAGUAACCUGCCCUUGACUUUGGGAUAACUUCAGGAAACUGGGGCUAAUACCGGAUAGGAGCUCCUGCUGCAUGGUGGGGGUUGGAAAGUUUCGGCGGUUGGGGAUGGACUCGCGGCUUAUCAGCUUGUUGGUGGGGUAGUGGCUUACCAAGGCUUUGACGGGUAGCCGGCCUGAGAGGGUGACCGGCCACAUUGGGACUGAGAUACGGCCCAGACUCCUACGGGAGGCAGCAGUGGGGAAUAUUGCACAAUGGGCGGAAGCCUGAUGCAGCAACGCCGCGUGCGGGAUGACGGCCUUCGGGUUGUAAACCGCUUUCGCCUGUGACGAAGCGUGAGUGACGGUAAUGGGUAAAGAAGCACCGGCUAACUACGUGCCAGCAGCCGCGGUGAUACGUAGGGUGCGAGCGUUGUCCGGAUUUAUUGGGCGUAAAGGGCUCGUAGGUGGUUGAUCGCGUCGGAAGUGUAAUCUUGGGGCUUAACCCUGAGCGUGCUUUCGAUACGGGUUGACUUGAGGAAGGUAGGGGAGAAUGGAAUUCCUGGUGGAGCGGUGGAAUGCGCAGAUAUCAGGAGGAACACCAGUGGCGAAGGCGGUUCUCUGGGCCUUUCCUGACGCUGAGGAGCGAAAGCGUGGGGAGCGAACAGGCUUAGAUACCCUGGUAGCCCACGCUGUAAACGGUGGGUACUAGGUGUGGGGUCCAUUCCACGGGUUCCGUGCCGUAGCUAACGCUUUAAGUACCCCGCCUGGGGAGUACGGCCGCAAGGCUAAAACUCAAAGGAAUUGACGGGGCCCCGCACAAGCGGCGGAGCAUGCGGAUUAAUUCGAUGCAACGCGUAGAACCUUACCUGGGUUUGACAUGGAUCGGGAGUGCUCAGAGAUGGGUGUGCCUCUUUUGGGGUCGGUUCACAGGUGGUGCAUGCCUGUCGUCAGCUCGUGUCGUGAGAUGUUGGGUUAAGUCCCGCAACGAGCGCAACCCUUGUUCACUGUUGCCAGCACGUUAUGGUGGGGACUCAGUGGAGACCGCCGGGGUCAACUCGGAGGAAGGUGGGGAUGACGUCAAGUCAUCAUGCCCCUUAUGUCCAGGGCUUCACGCAUGCUACAAUGGCUGGUACAGAGAGUGGCGAGCCUGUGAGGGUGAGCGAAUCUCGGAAAGCCGGUCUCAGUUCGGAUUGGGGUCUGCAACUCGACCUCAUGAAGUCGGAGUCGCUAGUAAUCGCAGAUCAGCAACGCUGCGGUGAAUACGUUCCCGGG
RNAcentral lists this ribosomal RNA (1343 nucleotides) under uncultured bacterium. RNAcentral's name for it is "16S ribosomal RNA". It matches the Rfam family "Bacterial small subunit ribosomal RNA", at positions 28 to 1378 of the family's 1533-position model. The record is from RNAcentral.